This 411-nucleotide ribosomal RNA is filed under the name Bacteroidota bacterium. Its description in RNAcentral is "Bacteroidetes bacterium partial 16S ribosomal RNA". It matches the Rfam family "Bacterial small subunit ribosomal RNA", at positions 355 to 776 of the family's 1533-position model. Lineage: Bacteria; Pseudomonadati; Bacteroidota. The record is from RNAcentral.
UGGGGAAUAUUGCGCAAUGGGGGAAACCCUGACGCAGCGACGCCGCGUGCGGGAUGAAGGCCUUCGGGUUGUAAACCGCUUUUGAUUGGGAGCAAGCUUUCGGGUGAGUGUACCUUUCGAAUAAGCGCCGGCUAACUACGUGCCAGCAGCCGCGGUAAUACGUAGGUGGCAAGCGUUGUCCGGAUUUAUUGGGCGUAAAGCGAGCGCAGGCGGUCAAUUAAGUCUGAUGUGAAAGCCCCCGGCUCAACCGGGGAGGGUCAUUGGAAACUGGUUGACUUGAGUGCAGAAGAGGAGAGUGGAAUUCCAUGUGUAGCGGUGAAAUGCGUAGAUAUAUGGAGGAACACCAGUGGCGAAGGCGACUCUCUGGUCUGUAACUGACGCGGAGGCUCGAAAGCGUGGGUAGCAAACAGG